UACGUAGGGUCCGAGCGUUAAUCGGAAUUACUGGGCGUAAAGCGUGCGCAGGCGGUUUUGUAAGCCAGAUGUGAAAGCCCCGGGCUUAACCUGGGAAUGGCAUUUGGGACUGCAAGGCUUGAGUGCGGCAGAGGAGACUGGAAUUCCUGGUGUAGCAGUGAAAUGCGUAGAUAUCAGGAGGAAUACCGAUGGCGAAGGCAGGUCUCUGGGCUGACACUGACGCUCAUGCACGAAAGCGUGGGGAGCAAACAGG
RNAcentral lists this ribosomal RNA (253 nucleotides) under uncultured bacterium. RNAcentral describes it as "partial 16S ribosomal RNA". It matches the Rfam family "Bacterial small subunit ribosomal RNA", at positions 524 to 776 of the family's 1533-position model. The record is from RNAcentral.